GAAAAUAUAAAUAAAAACAACAAAAAAAGCACCAGAUCUAACAAAAAACGGAAAAAAUCCAAAGAUAUCAAAGAAAAAUGGAAGGAGCAUCAAAUGGCAGUGCACAUAAGAAAACAGCCGGUGGCAGGUUGAUGUGGACCACCGAAAUUGAGAACCAACCUGCUCAUUGACCUGUGGCAGGAAAAAAUAGACGAUUUGCGGGGAGUCCGUAAGAACUCGCACGUUUAUAUGGAAAUGAAUCAGACCAUGAAAGAGGGUUGUGGGCUCGAUGUUGGAUGGACGGAAGUGCGAACGAAGCUUGAAAAUUUGACCAAAAAAUACAGGAUGGAAAAAAAUAAAGUGGGUCCAAGCGGGGGGCUCCCUCUGGAUGGCAGCAUUAUGAGAACCCAGAUGACAUUUCAAACGGAUUUAAUGCAAUUUUUAAGAGAAUAUAAACAGCAGUAGUAGGUUUUCAUAAUACAUUUUGUAUUAUUUUUAAAUUUAAGUAAUAAUUAUAA
Molecule: long non-coding RNA, 497 nt
Organism: Drosophila obscura
Lineage: Eukaryota; Metazoa; Arthropoda; Insecta; Diptera; Drosophilidae
Exons: 3
Source: RefSeq, a predicted model, not a curated record